Canis lupus familiaris (dog) is the source of this 4360-nucleotide long non-coding RNA. RefSeq lists it as uncharacterized. The record is from RefSeq and is a predicted model, not a curated record. Lineage: Eukaryota; Metazoa; Chordata; Mammalia; Carnivora; Canidae. The transcript is spliced from 4 exons.
CUCUCUCUCUGUGUGUGUGUCUCUCACGAAUAAAUAAAAUCUUAAAAAGAAAAAAGACCUCCCCUAAAAAGUUGAGGACAGAGGAAACCAGUUUGGGGUGGGGUAGAGCUAUUGCCUGUCAAUGCUGCAAUUGAGAUUUCUGUAAGCUGGAGUUUGGAUGAGGUGGAAAUAGUUGAGAGUAUACUGAAAAGAAAAGGGUUUGGUGUUAGAACUCGGCUACUUCCUCACUAUUGGAACAGGGCAACUCAUAAAACCCUUUAAAGUUCUCACUUUCUUCAUCUGUAAAAUCGAGCCCAUGAUGCUCAAUUAAUUGUGGGGCUUCAGUGGCCUCAUGCAGACUGAGAGUUGGCGGAAAGCCUGGCACACUCUAAACCCCUAUGGAGGCUGGUUUCCCCUGAUUCCCCUUCCUUUGGGACCUCAGUGUGGAACUUAGAAUCUGGACAGAACAGACGGACUGUUUCUGAAUAGUCCUCGCAUGUUUCUCUUCUCUCCUGUUGCAGUACUGGCAGGCAUUGGGUUGUGUACCCCACAGGGAUGGCUUUGUGGUCUGUGCCAAGACCAAGUACCUCUCUCAACCUCUACUGCCUUGGUUUUACCCCUUUCUGCCCUCUUCCCUGCUCCCAGGGUCCCCAGAACUGCCUGGCUUGUGCGGUAGCCACUGUCUCACAGCAAACACACCGAGACCCUGAGAUGGAAGAGUGGGGCCAAAGAGAGGAAACCUGACUCCAGUUUCUCCCAGACCCUCAAGAGCCAGAGUCUGAAUGGUCUGGGGCCUCUGUGAGUUGUGGUUCUGCAACUUGCUGGAUGAUGAAAAUCACCUGGUUAUAAAAUGCAGUUUUCUAGGCCCAGUCCCUGGGAGUCCAAUUCAAUGGAGGAGUUCAGGCAGGCAGGGAUUUGGGUUUGGCCAGCCUUCAGCAAUUUGUGCCUUUAGGCAAGUUGGAGAACUGCUGAGAAUGGUUCAAGGCCAGGGCUCUACAGGCAUCAUCUGAUUCAAGCACAGGCUCCCCUAGUCUGCGCUACCAGAGUGGCCUUAGAUAGGCAAUGUCCUUAACUUCUUUGGGUUUCAAUUUCCUCCUUGGGAAACAACAGAAUGAGAUUUGCAGGUUUAGCACUUAGCCCUAGGCUUGGCACAAAGCAAUCGCGAACAGAUGUUAGGCAAUAAUCUAAGUUGUUAUCCCGUGCAGCUGUGGGUUGGAGCAGGAUAGGGAGCCUGUGGUGGUUCUGGGUGACCAGCCUGUGAGGGGUGCUCAUUUUCCACCCUGUUCUGCCGUAAAGUCUCCUGAGAUGCAGGAGAGUGCAGCAGGGUGUGUGUAGGGGGGCACAUUGUCCCCCUGGAACCCCAGCUGCUAUGCCUCCCCUCACUGUGAGAUUUUGGGUGGGGUCAUAUCUCUCUGUGCCUGUUUCCUCUUCUACCCAAAGUGAAGAAUAAUUAUGUGCCUGGCACAUAAAAGCCUUCAAAGAAUUGUUAGCAAAUAUUAUUACUGUACUCUUUAAACAAUUGGCAAACAUUUCUUGGUGCCUUCUCUUGGAACUGGGGAUGAGAUGGUGCUGAGCACUCAGGCUUUAGAGCCAGCCUGCCUAGGAUUUUAACCAAGCUCUGGCAUUGAUCAGCUGUGUGAUCUUGGGGGAUUUACUCCUCUGUUUUGAACCUAAGACUGAUUCUUCAUCUAUUUCCUCAGUAGAAUUCAGAGGUGUGAAAGAGGAUUAGAUGGGUUCACUCUGUAAAGAGCUCAGAACAGUGCCUGGCACAGGGUAAACUCUAGUAGUAUUAAAUAAAUGAAAUCCAAGCCAUAGGCCCCCUUGCUAGGAGCCCAGUGUAAGGGGCAAGUAGGCAAGACCUGGGGACUAAGCCUCCUGCACAGCUGCGCAGGCCCGGGUCCCAGAGGAGGCAGGGGCACUGCCCAGGAAGGGUGCGCUUGCCAAGGAGCACAAGGUGUCAGUUGGCAGCGAGCCCUGAGUGCUCUGUGAGUUCUUUUAAACACAGGUAUUGAGAUACACAACAUGGCGUUUAUCUAUACAAAUAGAUAAAUAGAUAAAUAGGUAAAUAGAUUUACCGUGUAUCUAUACAAAAUAAGAAGAUGGGAGCUAUUCUGAUUUGGCAACAGCUUUAUCUGCUGGCUGGGAAUAAUGCAAGGAGGCAAGAGCACAUCCGGGCCAGAGUCGGGCCUGAUCAGGAGGAAUGAGGUGUCCUGGCCUCUGUUUGGGGGGGGACGAUGGGGGGACACGCAGCCGGGUCUCUCCUCUGCCAGCCUGCGCAGGGCGGGCGCCUGGCUGCGGGAACCACUCCACCCCAGCCCGAGAAGCUGGCCUUUUUUUCUACUUAGUAUCACGGUGUAUCUUUCAUUGUUUUUUAACCAUGGGGUCGUUGUUUGAUUUUUUUUUUUAAUUAAAUAUAACUGCACUCCCCCUGGCGGUCCGGGAACGCGGAGCCAGCCUGCACCACCCCAUCUCUGCACACUUUGACACCUCGGAGGAAGCCGCACUUGUUCUCACUAAGCGGGGCGCUGGCCAGCUAGCUUGGACCUUGCAGCAGAGGAAAUAAAUCCUGCGGCCCAGACCCAAGCCCUGAGCUCAGCCUUCUCCCCUCCUUCACAGAGCCCAUGAAUGCCUGAACCUUCAACACAAGAUCAGCUGGCAGGCGGGCUCUACUUUCUAAAAUUCAAUUUGGAAGCGCCGGAAGCUGAAAGAAGCACACAUGCGGGAUCAGCGCACUCUCUUUAAUGAGAAGGGAAUUCCCAUUUCUUACAGCAACAGCGCCGGUUCUGGAACCAGAUCUUGACCUGCGUGGACGUGAGCUUCAGCACGCUGGCCAGCUGGUCGCGCUCAGGGGCCGACAGAUACCGCUGCUGCUUGAAGCGCCGCUCCAGCUCGUAGACCUGCGCCUGCGAGAAGAGCACGCGCGGCUUCCUCCGCCGUCGCGCCCUGGGUCGCUCCGCGCCGUCGGCCUCCGGCUUCUCCAGCUCCACCGCCUUCUGCAGUGAGCACAGCUCUGCGGGGAAACAGAGGGGCAGAGGGGCGCCGGGUCAGGCCAGAGCGGCCCGCUCCGCGGGGCGCCUGCCGGGGAAUCCGCCCUGGUGGGUGCCACCGCGUGCUGCCUGGAGCGCCCAGCUUGGCUGCGGCUCGCGCCACCCAGGGCACUGGGCGCCGCGGACAGCUGGGACCGACCCGCGGCCCGUGAGCGUUUGCUGCAGCUUACUACGUGCCAGGCGGCCCAGGGCACUGGGGAGCGUCAGCCGGAGGGGUCCCUGCCCUCGCUCGGGAGUUCACCUUCUGGUGAGGGAGACGGACGGUGACUUAAGACUUCAGGCUGAAAAGAAGGUAAAGCCAGAUGCUGCCCCGGGGGUGAAUUAGAUGAGGGCUGCAGUGGUUUGGGAAUUAAUUAAUUAAUUUUUAAGAUUUUAUUUAUUUGAGAGAAAACGAACGAAAGACAGAGGGAGCACCAGACUCUCCGCUGAGCGGGGAGCCUGACGUGGGGCUCAGUGCGAGGACCCUGGGAUUAGGACCUGAGCUCAAGGCACACGCUUACGCGACGGAGCCACCGAGGCGCCCGGGUUUGAGACCAAGGCCUCACCACAGGGGCAGUCACACUGUCUCAAAAUUAUGGAACCCAGAAGAAACAGAAGGGGAAGAGCGGUUGGUUUGCUGAUGGAACACGCCCGCGCAGCCGCCAUGGGGUCUGUCCAGCUCCCAGGAGGCCGCCUGGGAUCCCGCCCUGCCCGCCUGCUCCAGCUGGAUUCGAAUCGGUAGCGGCCAGCGGAAUUGACCCUCCGGCGGCCGUCCCGGGGCCUUCCGUCUUCUGGACAAACCUCUCUAGGCCAGAAAGAGCCCUCCUGGGUUCCCCGCGGCCCUUAGCUCGGCGCCCCCAGCCACCUCGGAAUCGCGCAGAUCCCGGCCACGCGCCCCUUCCUGCCGCCCCGCCCGCCUCUCCCCUCUCCCCAAACUCCCGCUGCUCUGCGCGGCGACCCCGCCACCUUCCACGGUCUCCUUCUUCAUUGCCUCUCGCCUUGAGUCGCGCAGCAUUUUCUAACUUUUUUUCCAGCAGGAGAGAGCCCCUCAGUCCCAGUAGCGUCGGGAAGCUGGGCCGGAAAAACAAAGCUGCUAACUAGAUUCUUGAGAGUCCGCAGUAUCUCACUUUUGAAUCAAGGCCUUUGUGCCCAAAGAUUCCACUGUCCUGGUACAAGGAGGAAAAGCCCCAGAUACCCGGGCUACGGGUGGGCCAUAGAAGGUCCUGGACCCUUCUCCCUUUGUAAGCAAAACCCUGUCCGGUGUGCGGCAUUUUAACUUCUGUUUAGGCGCUUUCGGCAGAUCCUGAAAAAGACCCUUAAAUCAAAAACAAAAACAAAAACAAAACAACCCAAAA